This 253-nucleotide ribosomal RNA is filed under the name uncultured bacterium. RNAcentral describes it as "partial 16S ribosomal RNA". It matches the Rfam family "Bacterial small subunit ribosomal RNA", at positions 524 to 776 of the family's 1533-position model. The record is from RNAcentral.
UACGUAGGUGACCAGCGUUGUCCGGAUUUACUGGGCGUAAAGAGCGCGCAGGCGGUCGUUCAAGUCGAGUGUGAAAGCCCCCGGCUCAACUGGGGAGGGUCACUCGAUACUGAUCGACUCGAAGGCAGGAGAGGGUAGUGGAAUUCCCGGUGUAGUGGUGAAAUGCGUAGAUAUCGGGAGGAACACCAGUGGCGAAGGCGACUACCUGGCCUGUUCUUGACGCUGAGGCGCGAAAGCGUGGGGAGCGAACAGG